AACGAACGCUGGCGGCAUGCCUAACACAUGCAAGUCGAACGAGACCUUCGGGUCUAGUGGCGCACGGGUGCGUAACACGUGGGAAUCUGCCCUUUGCUUCGGAAUAACAGUUAGAAAUGACUGCUAAUACCGGAUGAUGUCGAAAGACCAAAGAUUUAUCGGCAAAGGAUGAGCCCGCGUAGGAUUAGGUAGUUGGUGGGGUAAUGGCCUACCAAGCCGACGAUCCUUAGCUGGUCUGAGAGGAUGAUCAGCCACACUGGGACUGAGACACGGCCCAGACUCCUACGGGAGGCAGCAGUGGGGAAUAUUGGACAAUGGGCGAAAGCCUGAUCCAGCAAUGCCGCGUGAGUGAUGAAGGCCUUAGGGUUGUAAAGCUCUUUUACCAGGGAUGAUAAUGACAGUACCUGGAGAAUAAGCUCCGGCUAACUCCGUG
Molecule: ribosomal RNA, 433 nt
Filed under: uncultured bacterium
Lineage: Bacteria
Description: partial 16S ribosomal RNA
Rfam family: Bacterial small subunit ribosomal RNA
Source: RNAcentral